CCUACGGGGUGCAGCAGUGAGGAAUAUUGGUCAAUGGCCGCAAGGCUGAACCAGCCAAGCCGCGUGAGGGACGACGGUCCCAAGCAUUGUAAACCUCUUUUGUCAGGGGGCAAAAUACGCCUCGCGUGCCUUUCCGAGUGUACUUGAAGAAAAAGCAUCGGCUAACUCCGUGCCAGCAGCCGCGGUAAUACGGGGGAUGCAAGCGUUAUCCGGAUUUAUUGGGGUUAAAGGGUGCGUAGGCGGACGGUUAAGUCAGCGGGAAAAGACCGGGGCUCAACCGCGUCGAGCCGUUGAAACUGGUUGUGUUGAGUGGGCGAGAGGUAUGCAGAAUGCGUGGUGUAGCGGUGAAAUGCUUAGAUAGCACGCAGAACUCCGAUUGCGAAGGCAGCAUACCGGCGGCGAACUGACGCUGAGGCACGAAAGUGUGGGUAUCGAACAGGAUUAGAUACCCUGGUAGUC
Molecule: ribosomal RNA, 459 nt
Filed under: uncultured bacterium
Lineage: Bacteria
Description: partial 16S ribosomal RNA
Rfam family: Bacterial small subunit ribosomal RNA
Source: RNAcentral